RNAcentral lists this ribosomal RNA (366 nucleotides) under uncultured eukaryote. RNAcentral's name for it is "partial 18S ribosomal RNA". It matches the Rfam family "Eukaryotic small subunit ribosomal RNA", at positions 592 to 976 of the family's 1831-position model. The record is from RNAcentral.
CAAUAGCAUAUGUUAAAGUUGUUGCGGUUGAAAAGCUCGUAGUUGGAUUUCUGGAGGGAGCGUCGGCCCGUAUUUACGAGUGCGUGACGUCUCUGUCCAUCCUUGCGGGAAGGCACGGCAUUGAUUUGUUGUGUCGGAUCGCAUCAUUUACUGUGAAAAAAUUAGAGUGUUCAAAGCAGGCUUUCGCUUGAAUACAUUAGCAUGGAAUAAUAAGAUAGGACUUUGGUGCUAUUUUGUUGGUUGAGCCUAAAGUAAUGAUUAAUAGGGAUAGUUGGGGGCACCUGUAUUGCGUUGUCAGAGGUGAAAUUCUUGGAUUUACGCAAGACAAACAGCUGCGAAAGCGUCUGCCAAGGAUGUUUUCAUUAA